UUGACGCCGCCUCCCGAGUCCCAGCGAAGGAGCCGGGAUGAUGUCACCCGCAGCCAAUCAAAAGUCUCUUCGGGAGGCUCGCGGAAGAAGACGCGGCGCUGCUGGAGGCGCUUUAACGUGGAGCAAACAUGGAGGUCCAGCAUGAGAACAGAAGGGGACAAUGGCGGUGUGCCCGCAGAGGACAUUCAAGUAUAGGCAAAUUGGACGCGCAGAUUAGGAGUUCGACGAUGUCUUUAUUGGCGCAGGGUCACGUGACGCUGAAGACAUUUUGACAUGUCAGCAAGGAGAAGCACAGGAAUAUCGUUAAGCAAGUGCCAAGCUGGCAGGCUGGACAGUCCCACAUGACGGGAGGACCCAUGCUGCGCUGAAAGGUUCUCGGUGGCUUCAAACCCCAAAUAUAAUCUGAGAUCUCUAUUUGUCCCCUUUGGCAAAACGAAACAAUGCGGGGCAUGUAUCAUUGCCUCUCAUUAGCCCCGCAGCUAUUUAUAAAAGGACGCAGCUGAUCAAAGCCUAUUCCCAUUGGAUUCCCAGCUUCUCCUGUUCCACUUGUGAUUAAGGGUAAAUGAACAACAACGAGACCCAACGUUUGCGGUUGGUUUCGUUUUUUUUCACUCAGGAUCACUUUAAUCGGUGUGUUUUAAUCACUUUAAUUGGUGUGUUACCACAGUUUUGCACUCGGCUAUUUUCAUUUUUGCUUUGACUCCUGCUACAUUUCAGAUGGAAGUGUUGUACUGCACUAUACAUUCUCUGAUAGAUGUGAUUACUUUUGUAAUUAAAAGAUACUACACACCACUAAUGAUUAAGCCCAACUAUUUCACAGUAAAAGCAUCACAAAGUAUCAAAAACGUAUUUUUCCUUCUUCCCUCUUAAAUGGAUAAGUUGAGAACAACUGGAAGUUGAAAAAGUAAUAGCUUCGCCUUCACCAUCCACAACAGUGGGAUGCUGCUCACAUUGAUGCAUCACUUCUAACCAUGUGAAAUAAAUGCGUUGGUGUAGAGUCGUUUAAAACGAGAAGCACAUGAGCUCUGUCGACAGUUCAAACAUUGGAUGCAGCAGGACCUGAGCAGUUAUGUAAAUUCAACCGGUUCCACCUGCCUGGUUUCAUUUGGACAAACAUUUGUCAAGUGGUCCUCAAAAUAUUCUCUCUAGCUGGUAUCAAAGAUUCUACAUUUAAUGAGAGAGGUUUUUUUCAGUUUAGGCAUGUAUUAAAGAAGGUGAGAGGGGUCACCACAAAACCAGUUAUUGGUAAUUGUUAUUUCCUGGAAGUCAGGCUGUUUCGUGGAAGCACUCAGUUGUAAUUCAACUGUGGGUAAAAAAAGAUUUUCUGACCCUAACCGUAGCCAGAGAGAACGAAAAGUCGGUGGUGAGAUUGUAACUUGAACAAAGGCCAUGUUCAUCUCUAACCAUUAGCAGCUGCUUUAAGCAUGAAUAACCACGUCUAAUGCUGCUUUAAUCGCUAAACGGUACAUUUUAGGGGUUUUAUGUUGGAAAUGAUAGAUAGGAGAUAGGUUGCUGAUAUAGAGUUACAGAGCAUGCCUUGGUUAAAAAAUGUAAAUACAUUUUUGUUAUGAUUUGAUAAUUAUGUUCAACGAGCCACAAUGUCUAAACAGAUGUUUUAAUUUGUUAAAAUGUUUGGGAGGUAUUUUGUACAAUGAGCUGUCCGUACAUGUCAGAGUGGGGAAACAUAAGUACCUCUUUUCGAAAUGUGAUGUUUAAUUUCUUUUGGUGAUAUUGCUCUAAAACUACAUUGUCUCCUCAUUCUGUUUCACUGGAAACUGGGAGCAGGUCAGACUUUAUGAGUCUUAUUUCACUUUGAAUGCUUUUUUGUGAGAUCUGCUUCCUUCAUAAAUGUCAGCCGAUGGAAAACAUGA
This is a non-coding RNA of Gasterosteus aculeatus aculeatus (three-spined stickleback), 1871 nucleotides long. Lineage: Eukaryota; Metazoa; Chordata; Actinopteri; Perciformes; Gasterosteidae. The record is from RefSeq and is a predicted model, not a curated record.